This 869-nucleotide ribosomal RNA is filed under the name uncultured Nitrososphaerota archaeon. RNAcentral's name for it is "bacterial SSU rRNA". It matches the Rfam family "Archaeal small subunit ribosomal RNA", at positions 47 to 922 of the family's 1478-position model. The record is from RNAcentral. Lineage: Archaea; Thermoproteati; Nitrososphaerota.
AGCCAUGCGAGUCAUUGUAGCAAUACAAGGCAUACGGCUCAGUAACGCGUAGUCAACCUAACCUAUGGACGGGAAUAACCUCGGGAAACUGAGAAUAAUGCCCGAUAGAACAUUAUGCCUGGAAUGGUUUAUGUUCCAAAUGAUUUAUCGCCGUAGGAUGGGACUGCGGCCUAUCAGUUUGUUGGUGAGGUAAUGGCCCACCAAGACUAUUACAGGUACGGGCUCUGAGAGGAGUAGCCCGGAGAUGGGUACUGAGACACGGACCCAGGCCCUAUGGGGCGCAGCAGGCGAGAAAACUUUGCAAUGUGCGAAAGCACGACAAGGUUAAUCCGAGUGGUUUCUGCUAAAGAAACCUUUUGUCAGUCCUAGAAACACUGAUGAAUAAGGGGUGGGCAAGUUCUGGUGUCAGCCGCCGCGGUAAAACCAGCACCUCAAGUGGUCAGGAUGAUUAUUGGGCCUAAAGCAUCCGUAGCCGGCUCUGUAAGUUUUCGGUUAAAUCUGUACGCUCAACGUACAGGCUGCCGGGAAUACUGCAAAGCUAGGGAGUGGGAGAGGUAGACGGUACUCGGUAGGAAGGGGUAAAAUCCUUUGAUCUAUUGAUGACCACCUGUGGCGAAGGCGGUCUACCAGAACACGUCCGACGGUGAGGGAUGAAAGCUGGGGGAGCAAACCGGAUUAGAUACCCGGGUAGUCCCAGCUGUAAACCAUGCAAACUCAGUGAUGCAUUGGCUUGUGGCCAAUGCAGUGCUGCAGGGAAGCCGUUAAGUUUGCCGCCUGGGAAGUACGUACGCAAGUAUGAAACUUAAAGGAAUUGGCGGGGGAGCACCACAAGGGGUGAAGCCUGCGGUUCAAUUGGAGUCAACGCCGGG